CUACUCCUGCACCUAUUGUUUAUUGCAGCUGUGAGCUCUGGUCCAGGACUCUCCCACUAGUGGACACAUCCUCUCCACAUCCAUUCUACCCAGCCAUUCACUAUUAAGUAAGUUU
Amblyraja radiata (thorny skate) is the source of this 115-nucleotide long non-coding RNA. RefSeq lists it as uncharacterized. Lineage: Eukaryota; Metazoa; Chordata; Chondrichthyes; Rajiformes; Rajidae. The record is from RefSeq and is a predicted model, not a curated record. The transcript has 3 exons.